GGCCACGUGGCGGAGUGGUUACGCAGAGGUCUGCAAAACCUCGUACGCCGGUUCAAUUCCGGCCGUGGCCUCCA
This 74-nucleotide transfer RNA is filed under the name Patescibacteria group bacterium. RNAcentral's name for it is "tRNA-Cys". It matches the Rfam family "tRNA". Rfam says of the family: Transfer RNA (tRNA) molecules are approximately 80 nucleotides in length. The record is from RNAcentral.